AUUGAACGCUGGCGGCAUGCCUUACACAUGCAAGUCGAACGGUAACGGGCCUUCGGGUGCCGACGAGUGGCGAACGGGUGAGUAAUGCAUCGGAACGUACCUUUCAGUGGGGGAUAACGUAGCGAAAGUUACGCUAAUACCGCAUAUUCUGUGAGCAGGAAAGCAGGGGAUCGCAAGACCUUGCGCUGAUUGAGCGGCCGAUGUCAGAUUAGCUAGUUGGUGAGGUAAAGGCUCACCAAGGCGACGAUCUGUAGCGGGUCUGAGAGGAUGAUCCGCCACACUGGAACUGAGACACGGUCCAGACUCCUACGGGAGGCAGCAGUGGGGAAUUUUGGACAAUGGGGGCAACCCUGAUCCAGCCAUGCCGCGUGAGUGAAGAAGGCCUCGGUGUAAGCUCUUCGUCGGACGAAUACGCAU
This 417-nucleotide ribosomal RNA is filed under the name uncultured bacterium. RNAcentral describes it as "bacterial SSU rRNA". It matches the Rfam family "Bacterial small subunit ribosomal RNA", at positions 30 to 453 of the family's 1533-position model. The record is from RNAcentral.